UCCCUGGUGGUCCAGUGGCUAAGACUCCUCACUCCCAAUGCGGAGAGCCUGGGUUCGAUUCCUGGUCAGGGAA
RNAcentral lists this transfer RNA (73 nucleotides) under Bos taurus (domestic cattle). It matches the Rfam family "tRNA". From Rfam's summary of the family: Transfer RNA (tRNA) molecules are approximately 80 nucleotides in length. The record is from Rfam by way of RNAcentral. Lineage: Eukaryota; Metazoa; Chordata; Mammalia; Artiodactyla; Bovidae. RNAcentral also lists the same sequence under 3 other names.